UACGAAGGGGGCAAGCGUUGUUCGGAAUUAUUGGGCGUAAAGGGCGCGUAGGCGGACCCGUAAGUCGAUUGUGAAAUCCCCAGGCUCAACCUGGGAAUUGCAGUCGAUACUGUGGGUCUUGAAUGCUCGAGAGGAUGGUAGAAUUCCUGGUGUAGAGGUGAAAUUCGUAGAUAUCAGGAGGAAUACCGGAGGCGAAAGCGGCCAUCUGGCGAGACAUUGACGCUGAGGCGCGAAAGCGUGGGGAUCAAACAGG
RNAcentral lists this ribosomal RNA (253 nucleotides) under uncultured bacterium. Its description in RNAcentral is "partial 16S ribosomal RNA". It matches the Rfam family "Bacterial small subunit ribosomal RNA", at positions 524 to 776 of the family's 1533-position model. The record is from RNAcentral.